Oncorhynchus tshawytscha (Chinook salmon) is the source of this 574-nucleotide long non-coding RNA. The record is from Ensembl. Lineage: Eukaryota; Metazoa; Chordata; Actinopteri; Salmoniformes; Salmonidae.
GUGUAUCAGUAUGUGUAUCAGUAUGUGUAUCAGUAUGUGUAGAACUAUGUCUGUGUAUCAGUAUGUGUAUAACUAUGUAUGUGUAUCAGUAUGUGUAGAACUAUGUAUGUGUAUCAGUAUGUGUAUCAGUAUGUGUAUCAGUAUGUGUAUCAGUAUGUGUAGAACUAUGUCUGUGUAUCAGUAUGUGUAUCAGUAUGUGUAGAACUAUGUAUGUGUAUCAGUAUGUGUAUGACUAUGUAUGUGUAUCAGUAUGUGUAUCAGUAUGUGUAUAACUAUGUCUGUGUAUCAGUAUGUGUAGAACUAUGUAUGUGUAUCAGUAUGUGUAUCAGUAUGUGUAUCAGUAUGUGUAGAACUAUGUAUGUGUAUCAGUAUGUGUAGAACUAUGUAUGUGUAUCAGUAUGUGUAUCAGUAUGUGUAGAACUAUGUCUGUGUAUCAGUAUGUGUAUCAGUAUGUGUAGAACUAUGUAUGUGUAUCAAACUGUGUAUCAGUAUGUGUAUCAGUAUGUGUAGAACUAUGUAUGUGUAUCAGUAUGUGUAUAACUAUGUAUGUGUAUCAGUAUGUGUAGAACUAUGU